AAAUAAUUUAAAUGGGUAUAUGCCUGUAGCAUGUACCUCUCUGAUUAUGAAAUCCUUGGAGAGGAUUGUGAAAGAUGUGCUGUUGAACAUAAAACAGGCAAAUCUAGAUUCAGUUUGCCUGCAGGGCUGGCAGGGUUGUUGAUGAUGCAAUGAGUGCUCUAUUAAAUAUGAUUUUAGCACAUCUUGAAGGUGCAAAGACUUUUGUGUGGUUAGUUCUUAUUGGUUUUUCAUCAGCUUUUAACUGUAUGCAGCCUCAUAUCGCAGCAGAAAGGCUAGAGAGUGAAGAUUGAUCCUGGUGUGAUAUGUUGGCUGAUGGAUUUUUUUAACUGAAAGCUCUCAACAUAUGAAGGUGGUUUUAUCUGAUGCAUUCAUUUCUACCAGGACGGUGUGUUCUUUUAUUUGUGUUUUAUACAACAGCCUGUCCCAGAUUGUCCAGCAGCCCACAGGGAAAUCUCCUGGUGGAUCUCCAGAGGACCAGUCUGCCCCUGAUCUGAGCUAACUUAAAGCCUGAUUCAAUAUUGAAAACCCAAGGAAAACAAAAGGAAAAAAAUAUGUGACUGGAAACCACUGGGCUAGACAGUUGUCUGAAUUUUAUAUUUAACUUGUUUAAGCAACAAGCUAAAUUUCAAAAUUUAUUUCAAAAUGCCUGUUGCACAUAACCCCUAUUGCCAUGUUUAGGUGAUCCCUUUAAUACAUAAUUAAAAUAGUUUAAAGUAAUUGUAAAGCAAAGACAGAUUUUCUCUACAGUAGAUGAAUGGCCGCUUGUGUUUAUGGGUUGUAGAGGUAAUACAUUAAGUCUCAGUGGGGUCCUGUGCACUGAUGAAAUCUACUAAUUUGAUUAGGCAGUGAAGACAGUGAUGCCAUCUGGACCUGUCUUUCCUAUGUCAAGCGACUCCAAAAAUAGACAUGUCAGUCACUAUUUAAAAUGACACAAUCCGGAACGCAAACCAGCAAUGAGAGAAAGCAUUUGCUAACAAGGCUUAGAAUGAGUCUGGCACCUGUUUUAAACAGCUACACCAGACCUGCAUCAGCUGCCGUCACACAUAUCACCUAGAGAUUAUCAUCAACUUGCCCUUCUCUGAUGCAUAACCUUCUUUUUUUUAAUGCAAUUGUCCCAAACAUGUUCCUGGAGUCUCCCCAGCAGAGCACAUGUCUGCCUAAUCAAACACAACUGAUCAGCUCAUUAGUAUAGACCAGUGGUUCCCAAAUCUGUUCCCACCCCACCUCCUCCAUAUUUUGUAUGUCCUUCUGUAACACAUGCAAUUCAGAUCAUCGGCUCAUUAGGGAAGAGCUCUAUAAUUGAACUGAGCUUUGUUACGAUUGAGAGGGUCCCUGCAUAGGAUUUACUGUUCCCUAUUCCCUGAGCACAUUACUGGGACCUUAACCUGACACAGUGCAUUCGAUUGGAACACCCUCAUCAUACAGAAAAACUUCAAUACAUUAGAGAAGCUUAUGUUAUGCAGAUUCUCCAACUGUCAGUUCCACUUUGGAUAUUU
This is a long non-coding RNA of Cyprinus carpio carpio, 1496 nucleotides long. NCBI's taxonomy places the organism in Eukaryota, Metazoa, Chordata, Actinopteri, Cypriniformes, Cyprinidae. The record is from Ensembl.